GGCGCAGAUGUGGAAAGAGGCCUGGG
Molecule: non-coding RNA, 26 nt
Filed under: Rattus norvegicus (Norway rat)
Lineage: Eukaryota; Metazoa; Chordata; Mammalia; Rodentia; Muridae
Source: RNAcentral